GACAGAGGGUGCAAACGUUGUUCGGAUUUACUGGGCGUAAAGCGUGUGUAGGCGGCUUCGCAAGUUGGAUGUGAAAUCCCACGGCUCAACCGUGGACGUGCAUCCAAAACUGCGUCGCUGGAGUCUCGGAGAGGAAGGUGGAAUGCUUGGUGUAGAGGUGAAAUUCGUAGAUAUCAAGCAGAACACCUGCGGCGAAGGCGGCCUUCUGGACGAUGACUGACGCUGAGACGCGAAAGCGUGGGGAGCAAACAGG
Molecule: ribosomal RNA, 253 nt
Filed under: uncultured bacterium
Lineage: Bacteria
Description: partial 16S ribosomal RNA
Rfam family: Bacterial small subunit ribosomal RNA
Source: RNAcentral